AUUGAACGCUGGCGGCAUGCUUACACAUGCAAGUCGAACGGUAACAGGGAAAAGCUUGCUUUUCUGCUGACGAGUGGCGAACGGGUGAGUAACACAUCGGAACGUGCCCUGUAGUGGGGGAUAACUACUCGAAAGAGUGGCUAAUACCGCAUACAACCUGAGGGUAAAAGUGGGGGACCGCAAGGCCUCACGCUAUAGGAGCGGCCGAUGGAAGAUUAGGUAGUUGGUAGGGUAAAGGCCUACCAAGCCGACGAUCUUUAGCGGGUCUGAGAGGACGAUCCGCCACACUGGGACUGAGACACGGCCCAGACUCCUACGGGAGGCAGCAGUCGAGAAUAGUCUACAAUGGCCGAAAGGCUGAUAGUGCGACGCCGCGUGAACGAAGAAGCCCUUCGGGGUGUAAAGUUCUUUUAUAUGUGAGCAGUGCUUUCUAUGUGAACAGCAUGGGGAGAGAGAUAUUAGCAUAUGAAUAAGCAACGGCUAACUCCGUG
Molecule: ribosomal RNA, 491 nt
Filed under: uncultured bacterium
Lineage: Bacteria
Description: bacterial SSU rRNA
Rfam family: Bacterial small subunit ribosomal RNA
Source: RNAcentral